CAAGAAAAACGGCCUGUUGAUUCCAAUUUAUUUUGGGGUAGGAAAGUCCGGACACCACAGAGCAGCAAAGCGGGUAACACCCGUCGGUCGCAAGAUCAGGACAAGUGCAACAGAAAGUAUGUAUAUUAAUUUAUAGUGAAACCAGGUAAACUCUUUGCGGUGCAAUGUUAAGUAUAUCGGAUUUCCCGGUUCGCCGGGAUAGGAGUGGCUCGCUCCAAAAACCGAGGGGUAAACAGCUAAAGUUUUGCAGCAAUGUAAAGCGCAGAUAAAUAACAGGCACUUCGCUUCGGCGAGGGUACAGAAUCCGGCUUACAGUUUUUCUUGUGGU
RNAcentral lists this RNase P RNA (328 nucleotides) under Flavobacteriaceae bacterium 3519-10. Its description in RNAcentral is "Bacterial RNase P class A". It matches the Rfam family "Bacterial RNase P class A". Rfam says of the family: Ribonuclease P (RNase P) is a ubiquitous endoribonuclease, found in archaea, bacteria and eukarya as well as chloroplasts and mitochondria. Lineage: Bacteria; Pseudomonadati; Bacteroidota; Flavobacteriia; Flavobacteriales; Flavobacteriaceae. The record is from Rfam by way of RNAcentral.